RNAcentral lists this ribosomal RNA (274 nucleotides) under uncultured bacterium. RNAcentral's name for it is "partial 16S ribosomal RNA". It matches the Rfam family "Bacterial small subunit ribosomal RNA", at positions 523 to 796 of the family's 1533-position model. The record is from RNAcentral.
AUACGGAGGGUGCAAGCGUUAUCCGGAAUCAUUGGGUUUAAAGGGUCCGUAGGCGGGCUAUUAAGUCAGAGGUGAAAUCCCACAGCUUAACUGUGGAACUGCCUUUGAUACUGGUAGUCUUGAGUUAUAUGGAAGUAGAUAGAAUGUGUAGUGUAGCGGUGAAAUGCAUAGAUAUUACACAGAAUACCGAUUGCGAAGGCAGUCUACUACGUAUAUACUGACGCUAAGGGACGAAAGCGUGGGGAGCGAACAGGAUUAGAAACCCCAGUAGUCC